GAUGAAGAACGCAGCGAAAUGCGAUAAGUAGUGUGAAUUGCAGAAUUCAGUGAAUCAUCGAAUCUUUGAACGCACAUUGCGCCCCUUGGUAUUCCAUGGGGCAUGCCUGUUCGAGCGUCAUUUGUACCUUCAAGCUUUGCUUGGUGUUGGGUGUUUGUCUCGCCUUUGCGUGUAGACUCGCCUUAAAAUAAUUGGCAGCCGGCGUAUUGAUUUCGGAGCGCAGUACAUCUCGCGCUUCGCACUCAUAACGACAGCGUCCAAAAGUACAUUUUACACUCUUGACCUCGGAUCAGGUAGGGAUACCCGCUGAACUUAAGCAUAUCAAUAAGCGGAGGA
Molecule: unclassified non-coding RNA, 336 nt
Filed under: soil metagenome
Description: partial contains 5.8S ribosomal RNA, internal transcribed spacer 2, and large subunit ribosomal RNA
Rfam family: 5.8S ribosomal RNA (bases 1-120)
Source: RNAcentral